GGUGGGGGCAGUGAGGAUGCUGUGUGUGCCCGGCAAGCAGAGCAGCAGCGGUCACCGCAGGCGCGUGGAGAACCUGUAACUCGCCUUUCCCAGGCGGCACCUGCAUCAGCACCGUUGUGACCCGACGCUGGUCUCAGCUGCCCUUCUCCUGCUCUGCUUGUCUCCCCAGUGGCCGCAUGCCGCUGCUGAAGGACAACCCCCUGCCACAGCCCCUCGCCUUCCGCGGACGGCCCAAACCUCCCCAGUCUCUCCAAACCCAGUGUUUCAUCCCUUCUGUCUCAAAGGAUGACCUUAACUUCUGUUUUUCAGAGACAAUAGAGACUAUCGUCACCUAGGUCCUACCCUCCCUGUCUCUAUAAGGACCUGCACCUGUGUGACUCUGGUCCUUUCUGCCUCUCCACCGGGUGUCCUUCCUCCUGUGUGGGGCUGGGCCCUGGACAUCUCAACCCACUCUGGGAAUGUGCCUCUUCCACUAACCAGUCCCUUCCCGUGGACUCCUUCCUCCGGGCAUAUACAAGUGGUAAAGAAAACAACACACACACACAAACAGGAAACAAAACCAUCCCAAUGAGGUGACCCUGUGUGGUUCUGUGCUUCCACUCAAUAGAGCGUAGAAAGGAUUCUAGAAAGAGAAGAUUCUAGAAAGAGAAGAUUCUAGAAGGGGAAGGACCUGUCUUCUUCAGUUACUGGAUCUGCAACCUUCCCUUCAUACAGUUUUGCUUGUUUGGUUUCUAUCAAAGGGCACCGAAGUGAUUCUGGACAGUAUGAGGAUGUGGUCUCACCCCACUGAGACUCACGGAACCGAUGUCUCCUCGUUCCUCUCUGCGACAGGUGCAGCGUCCGUGUUGGGUCGUACUGAGUCCGAGUCCCUGCUCGUCCUUGUUCACUUCUCCUUUUAACACAGGGCGGUCUCCUGCCCGGACCUUAGGUAGACACACUGUCUAGCUAAAAGGUAAUCCCUUUUUUGGUUUUCAUUGUAUUUAUUUCAUUUUAUUAUUUCUUAAAACCAUUUUGUUGAGGCAUGAGUGCCAUGUGAAGAGCUGUACAUAGGUAAUGCGAGUUUGGGGAUAAGGGUACACCCCCAAACCAUCACCAUCGUGCUCAUGGACAUACCCAUCACCUGCCACAGUAGUGUCCUGCCGCCUUUAUUAUGUAUGAUUCUUAUUUGUGUGGUAAGAAGCUAUACAUAAGUUCCCCAAAUUUUAGGUACGUAACCCAGUACGGUCAGUGAUAGGCACUGUUCUGUGCAGUGGAUCUUCUGCAUAUCUGAAACUUGAUUCCCAACGACCAACAUCUGCCCAUUUCCCCCACCCCUCGUCCCUGGCAACCACCGUUCUCCUCUCUGCCUCUAUGAAUUGGACCAUUUUAGAUUCCAUAUGUAAGUGAGAUCAUAUAUUAUUCGUCUUUCUGUGUCUGGCUUGUUUCAUGGAGCAUAACGCCCUCCGGGUCCCACCCUGUGGCCAAAAUGGCAGGACUUCCUUCUUUUAAAAGUCGGAACUGCAGUCCUUUGCACAUAUACAGCGUGUGAUUUUUAUCCACUCGCCCCUCGAUGCACACCUAGCUUGUUUCCGUGCCAUGGCUGCUUGUGGGUCGUCUGCCGUGAAUGCUGGAGCCCAGGGACCGCUCCAAGAUCCUGAUUGCAGUUUCCUUGGGAGAACUGCAGACUCUUUCCUUCAGAACCAACCUGAAGAGCUCAUGUGUGGGUCCAGCUUCACUAAACCCAGCAUCGAACACAGCCUUGUUAAUCACGCCGUAGUUGCCACCUAUUAAGAUCAAGACCCUCUGUAUUUAUUCUGGAUGAAAUGCAAGGUGAUCUACCUCGAGAAUUUGCUGGUAAAGGGUCACUCCAUUUGUCGGACUGUUUAGAAUCCCAUUUUGGAAAUCUGGGAUGUUAUCAAAAUUUCUAAAAAUGGUCCUUGAGAAUCCGAGUCCUGUCUGACACCCACCACGAAACGGAGCCAGACUGAUUUUGCUCUCCAGCUCAGAUUUGCAGGACUUGGCUGAGAGUCACCUGAAAUGACGUCCCUUUGGAGGAAGGGGCGGUACUGAAGGUCACCUUUUCUGAAAUUGGAAAAUGUUUGCAUGUUUUUGCUAAAACAAAUGAUCAGAAAAUAAUUUCUCGUAUGUAAAAUGGAAAGAAAAAGUAAUUUUUAAUCAACUCAGGUGAUUGAUGUGUUUAUAGUGAAGAAGGUGCGACCGCUCGCUCAGUGGAAAUAAAAUUUUCAGUUUUGUGCUC
This is a long non-coding RNA of Mustela lutreola (European mink), 2236 nucleotides long. RefSeq lists it as uncharacterized. The record is from RefSeq and is a predicted model, not a curated record. The transcript is spliced from 2 exons. Lineage: Eukaryota; Metazoa; Chordata; Mammalia; Carnivora; Mustelidae.